GAAGGAGUGUUUGAUACUCACCUGUUAGGCACCAAAAAACUGCAACGAAAGCACAUUUUGGCGACAUUUUUCAACUCUUUCGGAACAAAAUAGGGUUCAACUUGCUUUCAAAACAACUCACACGUAGCUCUAAAACCUUUGGUACGAAAAUCCUUUUUUAUUUUACAUUAACCGUGAAAUUUACUUUUCUUCCACUACUCGUAUUUUGUUGCAAAAACUCGAACAAUGCAUUAAGUUAAAAGAAAAGUCGCAAAUAUUCAAUUAAAAUCAGCUUUUCAUUCGUUUUGCCGUCGACUAAAUCCGUUAACAAUCCAGAUUUGGCCAAACAAGGUUUCAGGUGCAUUCCAGGUAAACGCCUCGAUUCCAGACAGAUGCCUGCCUGUGCUCCCAACGUCUCCAAUGAAAACUUUGAUCCCGCCUCCCUACUCCAGCUGAGCCAAUGAAAUUGAUGGGAUGCACCUGUGAACAAAUCAUAUUCUCCUCAUGAUAUGGUAACAGGUAAACUAUGCUAUUUUCCUCAAAAACGACAUUUUUCAGCAGUCCUGUCCAAACGCACCAUGAGUUUGCAAAGUCGUUUAUUACUUUUACAAAGUUUUGACACUUCUCAGAGCUCUCUAAGUAUCGUGUUGUCAACAAAGCUGGAGAACAAGGGACGCGGGGGGAACAGGGGAAUAAAGGUCCACGGAGGAGGAAACUAUCACGCAGGACCACUGGCAUCAAUACACCUGGACGCUUGAAAGGAUAGAAGGAGGCAAAGGAGGAAGAGAGGAGCCAAAGGUGAUACGAAGGAAACAAGGCCCUUACUUUCUCUUCAUGGUGGUUUGGAUGAUCAUAGUAUGUAUGAGAAGUUAACCAUGCUGAACCUGCAGAGCGGCUCAAACUGGAGCGGGCCUAACAACUGGUACCAUGACCCCACUGGUGUUCAGACACAACACAGCACAGUGUCUGACGGCUGUUUGCUGGACACGGAGGGCAGCAUGGGGGGAGAGGUGGUUGGAGGAGGAGGGGGAGCAGGCCGAGG
Long non-coding RNA from Notolabrus celidotus (New Zealand spotty), 1021 nucleotides. RefSeq lists it as uncharacterized. NCBI's taxonomy places the organism in Eukaryota, Metazoa, Chordata, Actinopteri, Labriformes, Labridae. The record is from RefSeq and is a predicted model, not a curated record. The transcript is spliced from 4 exons.